RNAcentral lists this ribosomal RNA (1075 nucleotides) under Streptomyces olivaceus. RNAcentral describes it as "bacterial SSU rRNA". It matches the Rfam family "Bacterial small subunit ribosomal RNA", at positions 245 to 1329 of the family's 1533-position model. The record is from RNAcentral. Lineage: Bacteria; Bacillati; Actinomycetota; Actinomycetes; Kitasatosporales; Streptomycetaceae.
UUUGCCGAAAGCAAUUAUGGCUCUCAAGGCGACGACGGGUAGCCGGCCUGAGAGGGCGACCGGCCACACUGGGACUGAGACACGGCCCAGACUCCUACGGGAGGCAGCAGUGGGGAAUAUUGCACAAUGGGCGAAAGCCUGAUGCAGCGACGCCGCGUGAGGGAUGACGGCCUUCGGGUUGUAAACCUCUUUCAGCAGGGAAGAAGCGAAAGUGACGGUACCUGCAGAAGAAGCGCCGGCUAACUACGUGCCAGCAGCCGCGGUAAUACGUAGGGCGCAAGCGUUGUCCGGAAUUAUUGGGCGUAAAGAGCUCGUAGGCGGCUUGUCACGUCGGUUGUGAAAGCCCGGGGCUUAACCCCGGGUCUGCAGUCGAUACGGGCAGGCUAGAGUUCGGUAGGGGAGAUCGGAAUUCCUGGUGUAGCGGUGAAAUGCGCAGAUUUCAGGAGGAACACCGGUGGCGAAGGCGGAUCUCUGGGCCGAUACUGACGCUGAGGAGCGAAAGCGUGGGGAGCGAACAGGAUUAGAUACCCUGGUAGUCCACGCCGUAACGGUGGGCACUAGGUGUGGGCAACAUUCCACGUUGUCCGUGCCGCAGCUAACGCAUUAAGUGCCCCGCCUGGGGAGUACGGCCGCAAGGCUAAACUCAAGGAAUUGACGGGGGCCCGCACAAGCGGCGGAGCAUGUGGCUUAUUUCGACGCACGCGAGAACCUUACCAAGGCUUGACAUACACCGGAACGGCCAGAGAUGGUCGCCCCCUUGUGGUCGGUGUACAGGUGGUGCAUGGCUGUGGUCAGCUCGUGUCGUGAGAUGUUGGGUUAAGUCCCGCAACGAGCGCAACCCUUGUCCCGUGUUGCCAGCAAGCCCCUUCGGGGGUGUUGGGGACUCACGGGAGACCGCCGGGGUCAACUCGGAGGAAGGUGGGGACGACGUCAAGUCAUCAUGCCCCUUAUGUCUUGGGCUGCACACGUGCUACAAUGGCCGGUACAAUGAGCUGCGAUACCGCAAGGUGGAGCGAAUCUCAAAAAGCCGGUCUCAGUUCGGAUUGGGGUCUGCAACUCGACCCCAUGAAGUCGU